Molecule: unclassified non-coding RNA, 219 nt
Filed under: Hevea brasiliensis (rubber tree)
Lineage: Eukaryota; Viridiplantae; Streptophyta; Magnoliopsida; Malpighiales; Euphorbiaceae
Source: RNAcentral
GGAAAAUCUUUCUGCAAAUAUAUGUUUUGGAAAUGCUGGAUUCAGGGAAACUCAGUUGCUAAUCUCCCAAUGGUUUAUGCUUCCAAUGUGUGGCCUUAAACUGAGUGUUAGAUUGGCAUCGAGUUGCUUGCGAUCUUUCUGCAAAUAUGUCAUAUAUGCUAAAGAUCAUGUGUGUGGGUUCAUAUGUCGUGUUGGAACAACAUUGCAGGGAUCUUCAGA